This 173-nucleotide ribosomal RNA is filed under the name Lachnospiraceae bacterium G41. Its description in RNAcentral is "16S rRNA. Bacterial SSU". It matches the Rfam family "Bacterial small subunit ribosomal RNA", at positions 1 to 158 of the family's 1533-position model. Lineage: Bacteria; Bacillati; Bacillota; Clostridia; Lachnospirales; Lachnospiraceae. The record is from RNAcentral.
UUUUUAUAGAGAGUUUGAUCCUGGCUCAGGAUGAACGCUGGCGGCGUGCUUAAUACAUGCAAGUCGAACGAAGACAUCUCGCCGAAGCUUGCUUCAUUGAGAUAUCUUAGUGGCGGACGGGUGAGUAACGCGUGGGUAACCUGCCUUACACAGGGGGAUAACAGUUAGAAAUG